AGAGUUUGAUCCUGGCUCAGGAUGAACGCUAGCGGCAGGCUUAACACAUGCAAGUCGAGGGGCAGCGCGGGGUAGCAAUACUCUGGCGGCGACCGGCGGAAGGGUGCGUAACGCGUGAGCAACAUGCCCGUGGCAGGGGGAUAAGCGAUGGAAACGUCGUCUAAGACCCCGUAACAACAGAGUUCGCAUGGACUUUGUUUGAAAGCUUCGGCGGCCACGGAUUGGCUCGCGUCCCAUUAGGCAGUUGGCGGGGUAACGGCCCACCAAACCGACGAUGGGUAGGGGUUCUGAGAGGAAGGUCCCCCACAAUGGAACUGAGACACGGUCCAUACUCCUACGGGAGGCAGCAGUGAGGAAUAUUGGUCAAUGGGCGGAAGCCUGAACCAGCCAUGCCGCGUGCAGGAAUAAGGCCCUACGGGUCGUAAACUGCUUUUGUACGGGAGCAAUAAGGGCCACGUGUGACCUGAUGAGAGUACCGUACGAAUAAGCAUCGGCUAACUCCGUGCCAGCAGCCGCGGUAAUACGGAGGAUGCGAGCGUUAUCCGGAUUCAUUGGGUUUAAAGGGUGCGUAGGCGGCGUGCCAAGUCAGGGGUGAAAGGUUCCGGCUCAACUGGGACAGUGCCUUUGAUACUGGUGUGCUGGAGUGCGCUUGCCGUGGGAGGAAUGAGUGGUGUAGCGGUGAAAUGCUUAGAUAUCACUCAAAACACCGAUUGCGAAGGCAUCUCACGAAGGCGUAACUGACGCUGAGGCACGAAAGCGUGGGGAUCAAACAGGAUUAGAUACCCUGGUAGUCCACGCCGUAAACGAUGAUGACUAACCGCCGGUCCGAUAGGGUCGGUGGCCAAGCGAAAGCGAUAAGUCAUCCACCUGGGGAGUACGACCGCAAGGUUGAAACUCAAAGGAAUUGACGGGGGCCCGCACAAGCGGAGGAACAUGUGGUUUAAUUCGAUGAUACGCGAGGAACCUUACCCGGGCUCGAACGGCAAGUGAAGAGAGACAGAGAUGUUGACGUCCUUCGGGACACUUGUCGAGGUGCUGCAUGGUUGUCGUCAGCUCGUGCCGUGAGGUGUCGGCUCAAGUGCCAUAACGAGCGCAACCCCUGCUUCCAGUUACCAGCACGUAAAGGUGGGGACUCUGGAGGGACUGCCACCGCAAGGUGAGAGGAAGGGGAGGAUGACGUCAAAUCAGCACGGCCCUUACGUCCGGGGCGACACACGUGUUACAAUGGCGGCCACAGAGGGAAGCUACCCUGCGAGGGGAUGCGGAUCUCGAAAAGCCGUCUCAGUUCGGAUCGGAGUCUGCAACUCGACUCCGUGAAGCUGGAUUCGCUAGUAAUCGCGCAUCAGCCAUGGCGCGGUGAAUACGUUCCCGGGCCUUGUACACACCGCCCGUCAAGCCAUGGAAGCCGGGGGCGCCUGAAGUUCGUGACCGCGAGGAGCGACCUAGGGCGAACCUGGUAACUGGGGCUAAGUCGUAACAAGGUAGCCGUACCGGAAGGUGUGGCUGGAACACCUCCUU
RNAcentral lists this ribosomal RNA (1518 nucleotides) under uncultured bacterium. Its description in RNAcentral is "bacterial SSU rRNA". It matches the Rfam family "Bacterial small subunit ribosomal RNA". The record is from RNAcentral.